This 202-nucleotide ribosomal RNA is filed under the name Staphylococcus aureus. RNAcentral describes it as "partial 16S ribosomal RNA". It matches the Rfam family "Bacterial small subunit ribosomal RNA", at positions 1 to 197 of the family's 1533-position model. The record is from RNAcentral. Lineage: Bacteria; Bacillati; Bacillota; Bacilli; Caryophanales; Staphylococcaceae.
UUUAUGGAGAGUUUGAUCCUGGCUCAGGAUGAACGCUGGCGGCGUGCCUAAUACAUGCAAGUCGAGCGAACGGAUGAGAAGCUUGCUUCUCUGAUGUUAGCGGCGGACGGGGGAGGAACACGUGGAUAACCUACCUAUAAGACUGGGAUAACUUCGGGAAACCGGAGCUAAUACCGGAUAAUAUUUUGAACCGCAUGGUUCA